RNAcentral lists this ribosomal RNA (253 nucleotides) under uncultured bacterium. RNAcentral's name for it is "partial 16S ribosomal RNA". It matches the Rfam family "Bacterial small subunit ribosomal RNA", at positions 1250 to 1500 of the family's 1533-position model. The record is from RNAcentral.
CCAAGUCGUGAGGCGGAGCUAAUCCCUUAAAGCCAUUCUCAGUUCGGAUUGUAGGCUGAAACUCGCCUACAUGAAACUGGAGUUACUAGUAAUCGCAGAUCAGAAUGCUGCGGUGAAUGCGUUCCCGGGUCUUGUACACACCGCCCGUCACACCACGGAAGUUGGGGGCGCCCGAAGCCACUUAGCUAACCCUUUUGGGAAGCGAGUGUCGAAGGUGAAAUCAAUAACUGGGGUGAAGUCGUAACAAGGUAAC